GAUGAACGCUAGCGGCAGGCUUAAUACAUGCAAGUCGAGGGGCAGCAGGUCUGUAGCAAUACAGAUGCUGGCGACCGGCAAACGGGUGCGGAACACGUACAGAACCUUCCUUCGAGCGGGGAAUAGCCCAGAGAAAUUUGGAUUAAUACCCCAUAGUAUAUUGAAAAGGCAUCUUUUUAAUAUUAAAGAUUUAUCACUUGAAGAUGGCUGUGCGGCUGAUUAGGUAGUUGGCGGGGUAACGGCCCACCAAGCCAUCGAUCAGUAACUGGUGUGAGAGCACGACCAGUCACACGGGCACUGAGACACGGGCCCGACUCCUACGGGAGGCAGCAGUAAGGAAUAUUGGUCAAUGGACGCAAGUCUGAACCAGCC
This 372-nucleotide ribosomal RNA is filed under the name uncultured bacterium. RNAcentral describes it as "bacterial SSU rRNA". It matches the Rfam family "Bacterial small subunit ribosomal RNA", at positions 28 to 393 of the family's 1533-position model. The record is from RNAcentral.